This 117-nucleotide ribosomal RNA is filed under the name Gadus morhua (Atlantic cod). The record is from RNAcentral. Lineage: Eukaryota; Metazoa; Chordata; Actinopteri; Gadiformes; Gadidae.
GCUUACGGCCAUACCACCUUAGGCACGCCGAUCUCGUCUGAUCUCGGAAGCUAAGCAGGGUCGGGCCUGGUUAGUACUUGGAUGGGUGACCGCCUGGAAUACCAGGUGCUGUAAGCA